Molecule: ribosomal RNA, 251 nt
Filed under: uncultured prokaryote
Description: partial 16S rRNA
Rfam family: Bacterial small subunit ribosomal RNA
Source: RNAcentral
ACGGGGGGUGCAAGCGUUGUUCGGAAUUAUUGGGCGUAAAGAGCGUGUAGGCGGUUGAAUAAGUCAGAUGUGAAAUCCCUGGGCUUAACCCAGUAAGGGCAUUUAAUACUAUUCAGCUUGAGUACGGGAGAGGCAAGUGGAAUUCCUGGUGUAGAGGUGACGCUAUUAGAUGUCCGGAGGAGAUCCGGUGGCGACGGCGUAAUUCUAGACUUAUAGUGAGGCUGAGACGCGAGAGCGUGGGUAGCAUAAAG